GACGAACGCUGGCGGCGUGCUUAACACAUGCAAGUCGAGCGGUAAGGCCCCUUCGGGGGUACACGAGCGGCGAACGGGUGAGUAACACGUGGGUGACCUGCCCUCAGCUCUGGGAUAAGCCUGGGAAACUGGGUCUAAUACCGGAUAUGACUCCAUGACGCAUGUCGUGGGGUGGAAAGCCUUGUGCGGCUGGGGAUGGGCCCGCGGCCUAUCAGCUUGUUGGUGGGGUGAUGGCCUACCAAGGCGACGACGGGUAGCCGGCCUGAGAGGGCGACCGGCCACACUGGGACUGAGACACGGCCCAGACUCCUACGGGAGGCAGCAGGUGGGGAAUCUUGCGCAAUGGGCGAAAGCCUGACGCAGCGACGCCGCGUGAGGGAUGACGGCC
RNAcentral lists this ribosomal RNA (388 nucleotides) under uncultured bacterium. Its description in RNAcentral is "bacterial SSU rRNA". It matches the Rfam family "Bacterial small subunit ribosomal RNA", at positions 28 to 416 of the family's 1533-position model. The record is from RNAcentral.